CAGUGUCUGCUACGAUGAGGCCUUCUUCACUUGCGCUCAGAAGCCUAGGGACAAUUUCCACGAGGUUGCAAGAAUACCUUCAUCAGUUUUGGUUGGAACACCAGCUGCAACCCUGUUAAGUUUCGAACCUUAAGCCAAUAAACAGACUCUGUAUAGUU
Molecule: long non-coding RNA, 158 nt
Organism: Sphaerodactylus townsendi
Lineage: Eukaryota; Metazoa; Chordata; Lepidosauria; Squamata; Sphaerodactylidae
Exons: 2
Source: RefSeq, a predicted model, not a curated record